GUGCCCAAACUUUUCCAUACCACUGUAAGAGGUCAUUUCAUGCCACAAGCAGCACUGCACAUCCAAAGGCCUAGAGUGGUUUCCUGCUUACAUUCAAACUGUAACACAACUCAGAAAUUGCCAGCUCUCACAUAACACCUAAAACAUAACAAUUAUGUGAAGUCAUAAAUACAGCCAUCUUGGCACUGUUGGAAAUUGGCAUGAGUGAGAGAAAGGUAGCGAAAAAACUGAAAAUCUCCAAGACAGCCAUUCCUGAUCUGUUUUUUCCUUUUCCUUCUUUUGUUUUGUUUGAACUUGUUUCAACAUUUCUUAUUUAUAUAUGUCUGAAUUGUCUUGAUUGUUUAUAUUUACUUAUACUUGACAAAGAACGGCUCAAAGAAGUGCAACAUGAGUUGAAGAGGAGACUGAAGGUGGCAAAGCUAGAAUACAAAAAGAAGAUAGAGAAGAAUUUUCAACACAGCAACAUCCGUGAUGUGUGGAGAGGAAUCAAUACCAUCUCUGGACACAACAAUAAAAAGAAAAGGGAGCCAAUAGUAGGUGAUGUGGAAAGGGCUGACGAACUCAACUUGUUCUUUAACAGAUUUGACACUGUGGACAUACCUACUUCCACUGCUACUCCUCCUUCUUCUCCUUAUUAACGAUCCAGUGGAUAUAGGAGCAGCAUUACUGCACAGAUAAUUAAAUAUUCGUCGGUAGAUUGUUAUCAGACCGCGCAUAAAUGUUCUCGCAUUUCCGGACAAUUAUCGGUUUGAGCGGUACCGUUUCGUACUCGUUUCAAGUCCAUAAUCUACAUAAACAACCUAAUCCGUCCUUACAUUUACAUUACCAGCCGCAGUCAUGCUCUCACAUCCAGCAGAUAUUGUGUGUUGCGCUGCGGUUCUUUGCAAAUGGAAGUUUUUAUAUAAUGUCGGAGAUGCAGAGUAAGGCAACUGUAUGGAGGACAUUCAGAAAAGUGUUCCUGGCCCUGAAACGGCUUUAACUCAUCAUUGUGGUUUUCCCUGGACAUAAACCUGUCAGAGCAUCAAGGAGGAGUUCCACAGGAUUGCAGGUGAAUGAUGUAGAGAUCUGUUAAAUUCAUUUUAAAUCAUAUUCUGUUAAUGACAUCGUGCUGCAACCUCAGACUGGGAUGAGUCAUUUAAAUUUCUUUUUUUUUUUUUUUGGUAAUUAACUUUUUAUUGCUUUUUAGAACAAAACAAAUCAUAGAACAGUAGAACAAACACACUAAGACAAUAAAAUAAACUGAAUGAAUAAUAAUAGUAAUAAUAAUCAUAAUUUUUUUUUAAAAACAACAACAAAAGGACAGAAAUGAUAAUGACAAUAAUAAUAUACAAAAUACAUAUACCUCAUGUCCAGGGUCUAGAUUUUCCAAAACACCUCCUCUUGGUUAUUCAACCUCAAGGUCAUCAUUUUAAUUUCUUUUAGGAUUUCCCAGUGUGAUUGGAUGCAUAGAUGCACACACAUCCCCAUUACAGCUCCCUCACAUCUUGAAUAGGAAGUCCAUUCACAGCAUAAAUGUGCAGGUAGGCUACAGGUCGACUGACUACUGUUUCUAAAUGUUAAAGACUGCAUCAUAGUUCAACAUCUGUCAUUCUCUGCACUGUCCAGAUCAUAUGUGAUUUCUAAUGUGGAGGCCAAGCGGUCUGGGUCUGUUCAUGACUCAAUGAUUUAUGGAGAGUCUAACCUGAGCAACAGACUGCAGCGUGGAGAGUUUGAUGGCCUUCUGCUGGGUGACAGGGGUUACCAUGACAACCCAGGCUGAUGACCUCAUACCCUGACCCUCAACCAGGCCCCCAACAGAACUUCAACCGGACUCACUGCAGGACCAGAGCCCGGGUGGAGAUGACCACAGGCCUGCUGAAAGCCCGUUUCCAGUGCCUACGUCUCCUCAGGAUGACCCCUGAGAGGGCCUGUGAUAUUACUGUGGCAUGUGUUGUUCUUCAUAAUAUUACCACUAUUAGAGGAGAGCAACACCCUGCCCUACAAACUGAAGACCCAGAUGAUGACCCCAUCCACCUGCAGCUAUCCAGGACAGCAGAGCAGUCAGAGACACCAUAUGCAAUAAUCACUUUAGAGUUUAAGUCACCAUCAUCACCACCACAGCAAAUAAAGACAUGAUACACAUUUCA
Long non-coding RNA from Acanthochromis polyacanthus (spiny chromis), 2126 nucleotides. RefSeq lists it as uncharacterized. NCBI's taxonomy places the organism in Eukaryota, Metazoa, Chordata, Actinopteri, Pomacentridae. The transcript has 2 exons. The record is from RefSeq and is a predicted model, not a curated record.